Molecule: long non-coding RNA, 475 nt
Organism: Mytilus californianus (California mussel)
Lineage: Eukaryota; Metazoa; Mollusca; Bivalvia; Mytilida; Mytilidae
Exons: 3
Source: RefSeq, a predicted model, not a curated record
CCUACUUUUCGUUUAUAAUGAAAGUCAUUUAUUAUUAAUAUUGGUAUGAAGGCGAUUUUGCUGGUUAGUUGUGUUCUUAUUAUAGAGAGUGCAGGAGAGCCUUGUUCUACAGCAGACCAUUUACCAGUGGUCAACAUAUGUAACAGUGAAACUGCGUUCGAAGAUGGCAGCAAUACUGUUUUAGUAAAAUCGGACAUGAGACAAAACUGUACAUGUGAACUUUCUUUAAACGAUCAAGAUCAGCCAUUUACUAUUAACUUUCAAAGAUUUGACGAUCAGAUAAAUUCCAUUCCGUCUAAUGCUGACUGCGGUUUGAAACUAAUGUUUAGUGUUGGACAAGAUAUUUUUGGGGAAGCUAACUGCUUCGGCGUUAGCAGUGUUUCAAAACUGAUUGUGAAAAAAGAUGUAAUGACAAUAAGAUCAAUGACUGUAAAUGGAACAUUGGAGGAUAAUGAAGGGUUUUGCAUUGAAGUAA